ACCUCCUUACCUAACGAU
RNAcentral lists this ribosomal RNA (18 nucleotides) under Yersinia pestis PY-02. RNAcentral describes it as "partial 23S ribosomal RNA". The record is from RNAcentral. Lineage: Bacteria; Pseudomonadati; Pseudomonadota; Gammaproteobacteria; Enterobacterales; Yersiniaceae.